GUUGCGGUAAAAAGCUCGUAGUUGGAUUUCUGUCGAGGACGACCGGUCCAUACAAUGUAUGUGCAUCUGGUUCGGCUUCGGCAUCCUCUCGAAAGACGUUUCUGUGCUUGAUUGCAUGGAGCGGAGUUCGGGGCUUUUACUUUGAGGAAAUUAGAGUGUUCACGGCAGGCUUGCGCCAGAAUACAUUAGCAUGGAGUAAUACUAUAGGAUCUCGGUUCUAUUUUGUUGGUUUCUAGAAUUGAGAUAAUGAUUAAUAGGGACAAUUGGGGGCAUUCGUAUCAAGGCGUCAGAGGUGGAAUUCUUGGAUUGCCUUGCGACGAACUACUGCGAAAGCAUUUGCCAAGGAUGUUUUCAUUGAUCAAGAACGAAAGUAAGGGGAUCGAAGACGAUUAGAUACCGUCUUAUUCUUUACCACAAACUAUGCCGACUAGAGAUGGGACAUCGUUCUUUUACGACUUGUUCCGCACCUUAUGAGAUAUCAAAGUUUUUGGGUUCCGGGGGGAGUAUGAUCGCAAGAUUGGAACUUAAAGGAAUUGACGGAAGGGCACCACCAGGAGUGGAACCUGCGGCUUAAUUUGACUCAACACGGGGAAACUCACCAGGUCCAGACAUAAUAAGGAUUGACAGAUUGAUAGCUCUUUCUUGAUUUUAUGGGUGGUGGUGCAUGGCCGUUCUUAGUUCGUGGAGUGAUUUGUCUGCUUAAUUGCGUUAACGAACGAGACCUUAACCUGUUAAAUAGCAGCGUCUAUUUCCGGAUAAGCGCCUUGCUUCUUAGAGGGACUGUAUGUGUUUCAACAUGCGGAAGUUUGAGGCUAAAACAGGUCUGUGAUGCCCUUCGAUGUUCUGGGCUGCACGCGCGUUACACUGAUGCGUUCAACGAGUGUACAACCUUGCCCGAUAGGGUUGGGUAACCUUAU
Molecule: ribosomal RNA, 917 nt
Filed under: uncultured Syndiniales
Lineage: Eukaryota; Dinophyceae; Syndiniales
Description: SSU rRNA
Rfam family: Eukaryotic small subunit ribosomal RNA
Source: RNAcentral